GUAACAAGGUCUCCGUUGGUGAACCAGCGGAGGGAUCAUUACCGAGUUUUCAACUCCCAAACCCCUGUGAACAUACCAAUCGUUGCCUCGGCGGGAGAGCCCCGGGCGUUGGCGAAAGCCUCGCACCGGUAUCAGGCGCCCGCCGGAGGACCCAAACAAACUCUUGAAUUCUAAAGUAUCUUCUGAGUAAUAUAAGUUAAAUAAAUUAAAACUUUCAACAACGGAUCUCUUGGUUCUGGCAUCGAUGAAGAACGCAGCGAAAUGCGAUAAGUAAUGUGAAUUGCAGAAUUCAGUGAAUCAUCGAAUCUUUGAACGCACAUUGCGCCCGCCAGUAUUCUGGCGGGCAUGCCUGUUCGAGCGUCAUUUCAACCCUCAAGCCCAGCUUGGUGUUGGGGAUCGGCACAGGCGCCCUCGGGCGCCCGCCGUCCCCUAAAUCUAGUGGCGGUCCCGCUGCAGCCUCCUCUGCGUAGUAGUUUUCUCCUCGCAAGGGCAGCUCGGUGGCGACCUCGCCGUAAAACCCCCAACUUCUGAAAGGUUGACCUCGAAUCAGGUAGGAAUACCCGCUGAACUUAAGCAUAUCAAU
This is a ribosomal RNA of 583 nucleotides. The stretch from base 210 to 363 matches the Rfam family "5.8S ribosomal RNA".